This 441-nucleotide ribosomal RNA is filed under the name uncultured bacterium. RNAcentral's name for it is "partial 16S ribosomal RNA". It matches the Rfam family "Bacterial small subunit ribosomal RNA", at positions 338 to 795 of the family's 1533-position model. The record is from RNAcentral.
CCUACGGGUGACAGCAGUAGGGGAUAUUGCACAAUGAGGGGAACCCUGAUGCAGCGACGCAGCGUGGGUGAAGGAGUUCUUCGGCAUGUAAAGCCCUGUCGGCAGGGAAGAAGAAAGACGGUAGCUGACUAAGACGCACCGGCUAACUACUGGCAAGCAGCCGCGGUAAUCCGUAGGGGGGGAGCGUUGACCGGAUUCACUGGGGGUAAAUGGAGCGUAGACGGCUAUGCAAGCUAGGGGGGAAAGCCCGGGGCCCCACCCCGGGACUGCCCUUGGAACUGGAUGGCUGGAGUGCGGGAGGGGCAGGCGGAAUUCCAGGUGUAGCGGUGAAAUGCGUAGAUAUCAGGAGGAACACCGGCGGCGAAGGCGGCCUGCUGGACCGCGACUGACGUUGAGGCUCGAAAGCGUGGGGAGCGAACAGGAUUAGAUACCCUAGUAGUC